RNAcentral lists this unclassified non-coding RNA (300 nucleotides) under uncultured Ramicandelaber. RNAcentral's name for it is "sequence contains ITS2". The record is from RNAcentral. Lineage: Eukaryota; Fungi; Kickxellomycota; Kickxellomycetes; Kickxellales; Kickxellaceae.
UAUCUCUCCUAUACCAAUUUGUUUUGGAAUCAUAUAGGGACUUGGGGUCUGUAUCGUCGGAAACUUUUAUAGGCAACCGGUGAACCCUUUAAAUACAGUAAGCUCCCAUCAGUACUCCAAAACUUAUGGAAAUACGCAAACUUGGGGAUGGCGUCGUAGCAAUCACUUUUAACGGUAUUGUCGAAGCGCCUAUACAUACCUCUAAACUGCGGUGCUAAUCCAUAAACGCUGACUUGGGUGAAGCUUAACGACUGGCAAAGUGCCAUGCUCCACUACUAUAUUCCGGAGCAACACGAACAU